RNAcentral lists this ribosomal RNA (506 nucleotides) under uncultured bacterium. Its description in RNAcentral is "bacterial SSU rRNA". It matches the Rfam family "Bacterial small subunit ribosomal RNA", at positions 15 to 507 of the family's 1533-position model. The record is from RNAcentral.
GAUCCUGGCUCAGGAUGAACGCUAGCUACAGGCUUAACACAUGCAAGUCGAGGGGAAACGAUAGAGAAAGCUUGCUUUUUUCUAGGCGUCGACCGGCGCACGGGUGAGUAACGCGUAUCCAACCUGCCCACCACUUGGGGAUAACCUUGCGAAAGUAAGACUAAUACCCAAUGACGUCUCUAGAAGACAUCUGAAAGAGAUUAAAGAUUUAUCGGUGAUGGAUGGGGAUGCGUCUGAUUAGCUUGUUGGCGGGGUAACGGCCCACCAAGGCGACGAUCAGUAGGGGUUCUGAGAGGAAGGUCCCCCACAUUGGAACUGAGACACGGUCCAAACUCCUACGGGAGGCAGCAGUGAGGAAUAUUGGUCAAUGGACGAGAGUCUGAACCAGCCAAGUAGCGUGCAGGAUGACGGCCCUAUGGGUUGUAAACUGCUUUUAUAAGGGAAUAAAGUGAGUCUCGUGAGACUUUUUGCAUGUACCUUAUGAAUAAGGACCGGCUAAUUCCGUG